UCGGGGAGCGCGCUGGGGCCGGCUGGGGAAGGCGCCCGCCUGCGUCUAACCUCUCCCGCUCCCCUCUGCGUUUCCUGCCUCAGGGAGAAAGUGUCUGCAGCAGGAGUGUUUGGGAAGAGGCUGUCCCCGCCCUGGUGGGCGGUGGUCCCCCAGAGCCCCCUCCCCCAGUUCUGGGAGCUCCUCUCCUGCUGGGCUCUCUCCUGAGUCCUCCUUGAACUUGCCUUCAGCUGGAGAAGCCAGCCUCCCCAGAGUCACCCGCCUUUGCCAGCUGCCUCUAUUCCCCAUGCCCGGCAGACACGGUGGGUGAAGCCUGGUCGCCUUGUCUCCCCUGGGGCAACUCCAGGGCCCCCCAGCUCCAGAGCUGCUGCAGGAUGGGGGGCUGUGAGCUCCCUGUCUCCUCUCCAGGUCACCUCCCUGCAGGGGGCCCUGUGAAGGUCUGUGACUGCUGAGCACCUUCUUUCCUUCCAGCCCCCCUCCCCGAGAAGGGGGGGAGUUCCGUGUGCCACACUCUGUCCACAGGGCUAGGUUCCUCUUCUUUUGGACAGUUUGUUCAAAAGACAGAAAAGAAAUGAACAGCAGGAAGAAGACUGGGUGUGUGUGCUCUCUGCAGGCUGAAUCAGGGUGAUGAGCUAGGGGAGGGGACCCCACUUUAUAUAGGGUGGCCAGGCAGGGCCUUCUGAGCAAGUGACAUUUAAAAAGAAAUUUGAAUGACAAGGAGGAGCCAGCAAGUCUGAAGAAUGAACUAAAGAAAUUUCCAGACAGAGGGACAGCAGGUGCAAAGACUCGAGGUGGUACAAGUUUGUCAUGUUCAAGGGACAGAGAAGAUGACAUGGGUGGCAGAGGGGAGAUGGCAGCAGGGCCAGAUCAGGUUGCAGGGCUUUGUGCCCCAGCAGAAAAAGCUGGGAUCUCCUUCCAGGGGCCAGGGGAUGGCAUGUGGGCUGGGCUAAGCGGGAGUGACUGAUGUGAUGAAAAAAUAUUUUUAAUUAAAUUUAAAAAAAUUUUUGUGCUG
RNAcentral lists this long non-coding RNA (1009 nucleotides) under Marmota monax (woodchuck). The record is from RNAcentral. Lineage: Eukaryota; Metazoa; Chordata; Mammalia; Rodentia; Sciuridae.